CGGACAGUUGGUGCAGGAAGAACGCAGCAGUAUCAGCGCACUCCAUCCCGGGGAUCUGAAUGCAUUGGUGGAGAGAACAGGGAAAUAAGAGUUCCAACCAGGUGGACUCUCAAUGUCUUGCAAGCGACACCUAGAAGCAGGUACAGGCAGGAGGCACAGCACCCUGCAACCUCCAGGGGCCUUUGUGCAAAUGUUCAUGUCCUAGAAGCACGUGGCGGAGCACGUCCUGGGAUCAAGGUGCCAUGGACUGGAAAACGCAGCUCUGGACAUACAGGCUUGGCGGAGUUCCUGUGUGAAGACAAAACUCCCAGUACUCCAGAAACGUGGAGGCAGAAGAGCAGUGACAAGGUAUCUGUAUGUCUGUCAGUAUAUGUGCACAGCAGGCCCAGCUGCCC
This 395-nucleotide long non-coding RNA is filed under the name Gallus gallus (chicken). RNAcentral describes it as "lncRNA (ENSGALG00010028210.1)". The record is from RNAcentral. Lineage: Eukaryota; Metazoa; Chordata; Aves; Galliformes; Phasianidae.